GGGAAGUGGGCAUUCUGGGCCACUUUUUCUAAUGUUAACCCUAUGGGGAAAAGGUAGCCUCCUAAGAGGUAGCCUCCCGAUGUGAGGCUAAUUUUUAUGACGUCAUUUUAAGUAUUACGACAUUAAUUAAUUAAUUUCUUUGGAUAAGGUCAUUAUUAAGUGUUACUAAUUACGGCUAAUUAAUUGGCGUUAUUGAAUAAGUAUAUAUAUAUAUAUAUAUAUAUUCUAUAUAUUUGAUGAAAAUUCCCAGUCUAUUAAUAGGUACACAGGAAAACCCCACCUUAGUGUGUAUUUACAAAUCAUUA
This 305-nucleotide long non-coding RNA is filed under the name Mytilus galloprovincialis (Mediterranean mussel). Lineage: Eukaryota; Metazoa; Mollusca; Bivalvia; Mytilida; Mytilidae. The record is from RNAcentral.